CGCAGCCGCGGUAAUUCCAGCUCCAAUAGCGUAUAUUAAAGUUGUUGCAGUUAAAAAGCUCGUAGUUGAAUUUCGGGAUCAAUUUAUUGGUCGUGCUAUUGUACGUACUGGUUUUAUUGGUUCCUCCCUUCUGACGAACCUUGAUGCCAUUAAUUUGGUGUCUUGGGAAAUCAGGACUGUUACUUUGAAAAAUUAGAGUGUUUAAAGCAAGCUCACGCUUGAAUACAUUAGCAUGGAAUAACGGAAUAGGACGUUUGAUUCUAUUUUGUUGGUUUCUAGGAUCGACGUAAUGAUUAAUAGGGAUAGUUGGGGGCAUUAGUAUUCAAUUGUCAGAGGUGAAAUUCUUGGAUUUAUUGAAGACUAACUACUGCGAAAGCAUUUGCCAAGGAUGUUUUCAUUAAUCAAGAACGAAAGUUAGGGGAUCGAAGACGAUCAGAUACCGUCGUAGUC
Molecule: ribosomal RNA, 450 nt
Filed under: uncultured Glomus
Lineage: Eukaryota; Fungi; Glomeromycota; Glomeromycetes; Glomerales; Glomeraceae
Description: SSU rRNA
Rfam family: Eukaryotic small subunit ribosomal RNA
Source: RNAcentral